UAGAAGAAAAGAACUGAAGCUCCGAUUAGAUUACAGUGAGAAGCAACGCAAACGCAACAACAAUGGCUACUCCUUCGAUUCUUCUGAGGGAUCUCAAACGGAAAUCCGCAGAUAUCAUCGGUCAGUAUUCUUCUUCUUUCUGAUGAUUUUAAUUUUUGAUUUAUUAAUACAUCAAUUUGUUCAUGAUUGAUGAUUGAUUUCAAUUAUUGAUGAUACAUGAAUAUGUUUUCAUUUAUUUAUUUAUUUGAUGGAAAAUACUACAGGAGGAGAAUAUGUUUUUAUUUAUUUAUUUGAUUGAUGCAGUACUUAGAACAGAACCAACUGAACUUGAAGUAGCACUUAAAUUCAGGAGAGAACAUUUCAACUCUGAUGAACAGAAGUCCAAAACAUCAUCUGGAGCAACACCAGAAUCUCCUAUCAUCACUCUUGAUAUAUAGUACUAGAUGUAUGUAAUGCUAAUGUAGUACUUUUGUCAUGGCAAUUAUCGCUAUUACUAGUAUGUUUUAUGUGUGUAAAGUAGUAGAGAUGUUUGUCGGCACUUGUGUCAUGGCAAUUAUCCUGCUAGACUAUUAUUAGUAGGGCAGUUAUCGCUAUUUGUAGUAUGUUUUAUGUUUGUAAAGUAGUAGAGAUGUUUGUCGGCACUUGUGUCUUGGCAAUUAUCACUAUUAGUAGUAUGUUUUAUGUGUGUAAAAUAGUAGAGAUGUUUGUCGGCUCUAGUGUCUUGGAAAUUAUCCUGGUAGACUAUUAUUAGUAGGUAGACUAUUAUUAGUAGGUCUCCAAUCUUGGAGGAUUCUGUUCAGAUAGGAUAAUGCAUAAAAAGAAAGUAGACUGACUUUUAAACUAAUGAAAAAAUAAGGGAAUCCCCUACCAUAUUUUCGCAAACUGUUGUGUGUGCUUGUUUAUGUCAUCUGCAUAUCCCUCUAUGCAUUGCAGCCUUGCUACUAGAAAUGGAUUCGAUACUGUGCUUGUUUGAUGACAUUGUUUCUAUUUUUUUUUUUUGCACUAGAAAUGGAUUCGAUACUGUGGGAUCUAAACUCAGAUCCUAAAAAGUAUAGAGGUUUUCAUGUGGUGGAAGUUGGCAACAAUGAACUAGGCUUGUUGUGUGAUAGUUAAUGUUUGCCACCUUCCUUUCACUUGUUGAUGCUUUAGGCUGUCUCAGAGUUUUAUUUUCCUGUUGCCAAUAUCUUUGACUGCAGUUGAUAGUUUUAUCUUUCUUUUCUUGAGGCUUGUCUUUGGUUUAGUGAGAAAUUUGAGGUAGCAGUAGCAGUGAAGUUGCAGCGCAGAGAAUAUUAGGUGUUACUUGGGACUUCAUGAUAAUUUAAUAUUUUAUUGCCACAAUACCACUUGGUGAUUUGUUUGUUACUGCUUUUGGUGUUUGCUUUUUGUUAUAUCUUUUACAGCUGAGUAUUGUCUUCUGUUGGUUUGUGUCGGUGGGUUGUUUAUCGCUGCUGAGGCGUGAGGGUCAUGACCAUGAUGUAUGUAACUUCUAUUACGUAUUUAUUUUGAUGUCCCUUGAUCCUUAUCUUAAACUGAUUCAAGUACAAGUACUAGGAUAGGAUGGGUAACCUGGGAGAUAAUCAUCUGUGUAAAUUAUUUUAGGGUCAUGCUAACUAGUGCCCCGGGGCACUAGUUAAAGAAACCAAGAAGUAAAUUUUGUAUUGAAAAGAGCAUUUUCUAUAUUUUGAAAAGAUAGAUUACACUAGUUCCAAGUUUAUUUUACUAUAUUAGGUUUCUUAACUAGUGGCACUAUGCACAAUUAAUUGUUGUACAGCCUUUGAUUCAUCUUUUGCUAAAACAAUUCAUGCAUCUAAAUUACUUAUACACAAUUAAGUUUUCAAUUUUUCUCAGCGUUUUGUGUAUUGCACGGAAUAUUUACCUCAGCAGAUUUAUAAACUGUAUAUUCCUAUCUUUAACACAGCAACGUUUUUUUUUUUAUAAGCUUUAACACAGCAACUGUUUUGCAUCCUUGACAAUAGAGGCAAAUUGGUGCAAUGGGCCAAAGAAGCAUUAAUCAGAGAAAUGGCAUUCGAAGAAUCUGAGUAGCAAAAUCACAUUUCUCAAACUUCUCUACCACGCAAGAUGAAAACCUGGUCACAUUGCAUUUGCUUGCUGUAAUAGUGCUACUGAUUGCUAGUUGAAUGUUGUUAUUUUAGGAAUUAUCCUCUGUUAAUGGCUAACUUGGAAGGUUGCUUCUGCUCUGGCUGAUG
Molecule: long non-coding RNA, 2207 nt
Filed under: Trifolium pratense (red clover)
Lineage: Eukaryota; Viridiplantae; Streptophyta; Magnoliopsida; Fabales; Fabaceae
Description: long non-coding RNA (TPRA_LNC002612)
Source: RNAcentral